This 268-nucleotide long non-coding RNA is filed under the name Lathyrus oleraceus (garden pea). Its description in RNAcentral is "Pisum sativum (pea) long non-coding RNA (PSAT_LNC022622)". The record is from RNAcentral. Lineage: Eukaryota; Viridiplantae; Streptophyta; Magnoliopsida; Fabales; Fabaceae.
UUCAACAUCCUCCUCUUCCAUUUUAAACACAAGAACUCAAAGUUGGGAGAAGGCAUAUGGUCAUUGUUUUCAAUGGGUUUAACAAUCAAUCUGCAUAAUGAUUUUAUGCUUAAUUUUAGAAAAUGAACAAAUAGACGCACAUUGUGACGCAGAUAUAAAAAAGUGAUUAUUAUCUUGGUUUUUAUGUUACCAUUUUUCAGAAAAAAACAAAAAGAGAAAACAUAAUAUGAAUAAGAAAAAUAACAUUUUAUUAAUGAUGACAAAAUCU